This 420-nucleotide ribosomal RNA is filed under the name uncultured bacterium. RNAcentral describes it as "bacterial SSU rRNA". It matches the Rfam family "Bacterial small subunit ribosomal RNA", at positions 355 to 774 of the family's 1533-position model. The record is from RNAcentral.
UAAGGAAUAUUGCUCAAUGGGAGAAAUCCUGAAGCAGCAACGCCGCGUGGAGGAUGAAGGGUCUAUGACUUGUAAACUCCUGUAAAGAAGGAAAAAAUUCCCAUUUGAUGGGAGAUGAUGGUACUUCUGGAGUAAGCCCCGGCUAACUACGUGCCAGCAGCCGCGGUAAUACGUAGGGGGCAAGCGUUGUCCGGAUUUACUGGGUGUAAAGGGUGCUCAGGCGGAUUUGUAAGUCAGAGGUGAAAUCUUACAGCCUAACUGUGAAACUGCCUUUGAUACUGCAAGCCUAGAGUAUGGAAGAGAGUGAUGGAAUAUCUGGUGUAGCAGUGAAAUGCGUAGAUAUCAGAUAGAACACCAAUGGCGAAGGCAGUCACUUGGUCCAUUACUGACGCUAAAGCACGAAAGCGUGGGUAGCAAACA